RNAcentral lists this ribosomal RNA (407 nucleotides) under Trachydactylus hajarensis. Its description in RNAcentral is "partial small subunit ribosomal RNA". It matches the Rfam family "Bacterial small subunit ribosomal RNA", at positions 783 to 1386 of the family's 1533-position model. Lineage: Eukaryota; Metazoa; Chordata; Lepidosauria; Squamata; Gekkonidae. The record is from RNAcentral.
UACCCCACUAUGCCUAGCCUUAAACUUUGAUAGUAAGACCUACUAUCCGCCAGAGAAUUACGAGCGAAAAGCUUAAAACUCAAAAGACUUGACGGUGCCCCAAACCAACCUAGAGGAGCCUGUCCUAUAAUCGAUGACCCGCGCUUUACCCCACCUGCCCUCGCACAAAUCAGCCAGCCUAUAUACCGCCGCCUUCCAGCCUACCUUACAAAAGUAACACAGCAAGCAAAAUAGCCCCUCCGCUAAAACGUCAGGUCAAGGUGUAGCUAAUGGGCAGGAAAGAGAUGGGCUACAUUCUCUACGCACAUAGACCACCACCCCCGGUAUCAUGAAAACAUACCUCAAAGGAGGAUUUAGUAGUAAUUUAGGCAAGACUUCCUAAAUGAAUCCUGCUCUGGGGCGCGUAC